Molecule: long non-coding RNA, 281 nt
Filed under: Bos taurus (domestic cattle)
Lineage: Eukaryota; Metazoa; Chordata; Mammalia; Artiodactyla; Bovidae
Description: long non-coding RNA NONBTAT011214
Source: RNAcentral
CGAUGUGGACAGAGUCUUAUCAGAGAACCUGUGUGUCUGAGAUAGAGGUAGAGUUCUGUGAAAUAUAAUUCUUCAGCAUUGCCUGUUAGGUCACAUUCUUUGUUUAUAGUUGAUCAAAGCUUUGGGCUCUGACAGAUGAGUAAGUGAUAUUUGUAGUUUCCAGGGCUGUUCUAACUUUCUAACCCUUUUGAUUUUCACAUAUAUGUCAAUAGAAAGGUGAAGGAAAGUGAAUCAGAUAUUCAUUGCUGUCAGUAAGUUUCCAUGUGAUUUUUAUGUUUAUG